RNAcentral lists this ribosomal RNA (253 nucleotides) under uncultured bacterium. RNAcentral describes it as "partial 16S ribosomal RNA". It matches the Rfam family "Bacterial small subunit ribosomal RNA", at positions 524 to 776 of the family's 1533-position model. The record is from RNAcentral.
UACGUAGGGUGCGAGCGUUAAUCGGAAUUACCGGGCGUAAAGCGUGCGUAGGCGGUUCUCCAAGUCCGUUGUGAAAGCCCCGGGCUCAACCUGGGAAUGGCAGUGGAAACUAGGGGACUGGAAUCUGGCAGAGGGGGGUGGAAUGCCGCGUGUAGCAGUGAAAUGCGUAGAGAUGCGGCGGAACACCGAUGGCGAAGGCAGCCCCCUGGGCUGAGAUUGACGCUCAGGCACGAAAGCGUGGGGAGCAAACAGG